This 207-nucleotide ribosomal RNA is filed under the name Triticum aestivum (bread wheat). RNAcentral's name for it is "partial small subunit ribosomal RNA". The record is from RNAcentral. Lineage: Eukaryota; Viridiplantae; Streptophyta; Magnoliopsida; Poales; Poaceae.
AUGCCUUGUCGUCAUCCCUCUCUGACCACUGCCCUCUCCUGCUCGCCGAUGACGGGGCCGUGGUCUUUCAAGUUUGAGAACUUCUGGGUCUCAUUGCCCGGGUUUAUUGACGUGGCGCAGAAGGCGUGGAAUGAGCGAGCGAACCAUUCAGAGCCCUUGCAAGUUUUGCACCACAAGUUGAAGAAAACCGCGCUUCGUCCCACCUAG